Molecule: ribosomal RNA, 497 nt
Filed under: uncultured bacterium
Lineage: Bacteria
Description: partial 16S ribosomal RNA
Rfam family: Bacterial small subunit ribosomal RNA
Source: RNAcentral
GAUGAACGCUGGCGGCGUGCCUAAUACAUGCAAGUCGAGCGAACGGACGAGAAGCUUGCUUCUCUGAUGUUAGCGGCGGACGGGUGAGUAACACGUGGAUAACCUACCUAUAAGACUGGGAUAACUUCGGGAAACCGGAGCUAAUACCGGAUAAUAUUUUGAACCGCAUGGUUCAAAAGUGAAAGACGGUCUUGCUGUCACUUAUAGAUGGAUCCGCGCUGCAUUAGCUAGUUGGUAAGGUAACGGCUUACCAAGGCAACGAUGCAUAGCCGACCUGAGAGGGUGAUCGGCCACACUGGAACUGAGACACGGUCCAGACUCCUACGGGAGGCAGCAGUAGGGAAUCUUCCGCAAUGGGCGAAAGCCUGACGGAGCAACGCCGCGUGAGUGAUGAUGGUCUUCGGAUCGUAAAACUCUGCUAUUAGGGAAGAACAUAUGUGUAAGUAACUGUGCACAUCUUGACGGUACCUAAUCAGAAAGCCACGGCUAACUACGUG